ACAUCCAGAGAAUUUAGCAGAGAUGCUUUAGUGCCUUCGGGAACUCUGAGACAGGUGCUGCAUGGCUGUCGUCAGCUCGUGUUGUGAAAUGUUGGGUUAAGUCCCGCAACGAGCGCAACCCUUAUCCUUUGUUGCCAGCACGUAAUGGUGGGAACUCAAAGGAGACUGCCGGUGAUAAACCGGAGGAAGGUGGGGAUGACGUCAAGUCAUCAUGGCCCUUACGAGUAGGGCUACACACGUGCUACAAUGGCGCAUACAAAGAGAAGCGACCUCGCGAGAGCAAGCGGACCUCAUAAAGUGCGUCGUAGUCCGGAUUGGAGUCUGCAACUCGACUCCAUGAAGUCGGAAUCGCUAGUAAUCGUAAAUCAGAGUGUUACGGUGAAUACGUUCCCGGGCCUUGUACACACCGCCCGUCACACCAUGGGAGUGGGUUGCAAAAGAAGUAGAUAGCUUAACCUUCGGGAGGGCGUUUACCACUUUGUGAUUCAUGACUGGGGUGAAGUCGUAACAAGGUAGGCGUAGUGCU
This 526-nucleotide ribosomal RNA is filed under the name uncultured bacterium. RNAcentral describes it as "bacterial SSU rRNA". It matches the Rfam family "Bacterial small subunit ribosomal RNA", at positions 984 to 1509 of the family's 1533-position model. The record is from RNAcentral.